RNAcentral lists this transfer RNA (69 nucleotides) under Ictidomys tridecemlineatus (thirteen-lined ground squirrel). RNAcentral's name for it is "Spermophilus tridecemlineatus (thirteen-lined ground squirrel) tRNA". It matches the Rfam family "tRNA". From Rfam's summary of the family: Transfer RNA (tRNA) molecules are approximately 80 nucleotides in length. Their secondary structure includes four short double-helical elements and three loops (D, anti-codon, and T loops). The record is from Rfam by way of RNAcentral. RNAcentral also lists the same sequence under 1 other name. Lineage: Eukaryota; Metazoa; Chordata; Mammalia; Rodentia; Sciuridae.
GGGGCUGUAGCUCAGUGGUAGAGCGCUUGCCUGACAUGUGUGAGGCACCCGGUUCGAUCCUUAGCACCA